ACUCCUACGGGAGGCAGCAGUGGGGAAUAUUGGACAAUGGGGGCAACCCUGAUCCAGCCAUGCCGCGUGAGUGAAGAAGGCCCUAGGGUCGUAAAGCUCUUUCAACUGUGAAGAUAAUGACGUGAGCAGUAGAAGAAAACCCCGGCUAACUCCUGUGCCAUGCAGCCGCGGUAAUACGGAGGGGUUAGCGUUGUUCGGAAUUACUGGGCGUAAAGCGCACGUAGGCGGACUAUUAAGUUAGAGGUGAAAUCCCAGGGCU
RNAcentral lists this ribosomal RNA (259 nucleotides) under uncultured bacterium. RNAcentral's name for it is "partial 16S ribosomal RNA". It matches the Rfam family "Bacterial small subunit ribosomal RNA", at positions 335 to 609 of the family's 1533-position model. The record is from RNAcentral.